GGAGAAAUCUGGAUUAAUACCCCAUGGCACAGCACAAGGGCAUCUGCGAGCUGUUAAAGAUUCAUCGGUAUGAGAUGGGCAUGCGUCUGAUUAGCUAGUUGGCGGUGUAACGGACCACCAAGGCGACGAUCAGUAGGGGUUCUGAGAGGAAGGUCCCCCACACUGGCACUGAGAUACGGGCCAGACUCCUACGGGAGGCAGCAGUAGGGAAUAUUGGGCAAUGGUCGGAAGACUGACCCAGCCAUGCCGCGUGCAGGAAGAAGGCCUAUUGGGUUGUAAACUGCUUUUAUCUGGGAAGAAAAGGCCCGUGCGCGGGACAUUGCCGGUACCAGAUGAAUAAGCACCGGCUAACUCCGUGCCAGCAGCCGCGGUAAUACGGAGGGUGCAAGCGUUGUCCGGAUUUAUUGGGUUUAAAGGGUGCGUAGGCGGCUAUUUAAGUCAGCGGUGAAAGACUCCGGCUCAACCGGAGCAGUGCCAUUGAUACUGGAUAGCUUGAGUGUUGGAGGGGUACAUGGAAUUGAUGGUGUAGCGGUGAAAUGCAUAGAUACCAUCAGGAACACCGAUAGCGAAGGCAUUGUACUGGCCAACAACUGACGCUGAGGCACGAAAGCAUGGGGAGCGAACAGGAUUAGAUACCCUGGUAGUCCAUGCCGUAAACGAUGAUUACUCGCUGUUAUGCUGUACA
RNAcentral lists this ribosomal RNA (685 nucleotides) under uncultured Algoriphagus sp. RNAcentral's name for it is "bacterial SSU rRNA". It matches the Rfam family "Bacterial small subunit ribosomal RNA", at positions 150 to 834 of the family's 1533-position model. Lineage: Bacteria; Pseudomonadati; Bacteroidota; Cytophagia; Cytophagales; Cyclobacteriaceae. The record is from RNAcentral.